This 275-nucleotide ribosomal RNA is filed under the name uncultured bacterium. Its description in RNAcentral is "partial 16S ribosomal RNA". It matches the Rfam family "Bacterial small subunit ribosomal RNA", at positions 338 to 630 of the family's 1533-position model. The record is from RNAcentral.
CCUACGGGGGGCUGCAGUGGGGAAUCUUGCGCAAUGGGCGAAAGCCUGACGCAGCAACGCCGCGUGCGGGAAGAAGGCCUUCGGGUUGUAAACCGCUUUCAGAAGGAACGAAACUGACGGUACUUUCAGAAGAAGGUGCGGCCAACUACGUGCCAGCAGCCGCGGUGACACGUAGGCACCAAGCGUUGUCCGGAUUUAUUGGGCGUAAAGAGCUCGUAGGCGGUUCGGUAAGUCGGGUGUGAAAUCUUUGGGCUUAACCCAAAGCGUGCACUCGA